GACUACAGGGGUAUCUAAUCCCGUUUGAUCCCCUGGCCUUCGUGCCUCAGCGUCAGGUCUUGUCCAGAGACUCGCCUUCGCCACUGGUGUUCCUCUUGAUAUCUACGCAUUUCACUGCUACUCCAAGAAUUCCAGUCUCCCUUCCAAUCCUCUAGCACAGCAGUCUCCCAGGCUCCCUCCACGUUAAGCAUGGAGAUUUCACCCAAGUCUUACUAUACCGCCUACGCACCCUUUACGCCCAGUGAUUCCGAACAACGCUUGGGACCUCUGUAUUACCGCGGCUGCUGGCACAGAGUUAGCCGUCCCUUCCUCUUUUGCUACUAUCAAUGUCAUCAUCUCUUAAACAAUAACACUUGCUCACAAAUGACAGGGGUUUACGAGCCGAAGCCCUUCAUCCCCCACGCGGCGUCGCUCCUUCAGGGUUUCCCCCAUUGAGAAAAAUUCUCGACUGCAGCCCCCCGUAGG
This 465-nucleotide ribosomal RNA is filed under the name uncultured Verrucomicrobiota bacterium. RNAcentral describes it as "uncultured Verrucomicrobia bacterium partial 16S ribosomal RNA". The record is from RNAcentral. Lineage: Bacteria; Pseudomonadati; Verrucomicrobiota.